AAGUCGUAACAAGGUUUCCGUAGGUGAACCUGCGGAAGGAUCAUUAACACUUUUUGUUGAUUGUUGGUUUUUUCUUAAAAACUGACAACCACAAUUAUCCUAUCCAAACUGAAGAGCUUGUGAGCAGUGUGCUUUUUUGUCUCUUUCUUUCGAGACAAAAAGCUGGCUCCCAUUUUCUCACUUUUUUCACUUUUAAACAAAAACCCCAAUCACACAAAUCUAAAUCAUUUGUGAGAUUGCAAACAAUCAAUUUGCUAUCUUGACAAUCUAAAAAACAACUUUUAAGAGAUUUACAUCUCAAAAUGUAACCAAACAACUCUUAACAACGGAUAUCUUGGCUCUC
Molecule: unclassified non-coding RNA, 343 nt
Filed under: fungal sp.
Lineage: Eukaryota; Fungi
Description: partial internal transcribed spacer region
Rfam family: Eukaryotic small subunit ribosomal RNA (bases 1-46)
Source: RNAcentral